UACGUAGGGUGCAAGCGUUGUCCGGAAUUAUUGGGCGUAAAGAGCUCGUAGGCGGUCUGUCGCGUCGGAUGUGAAAACCCGGGGCUUAACCCCGGGCCUGCAUUCGAUACGGGCAGACUCGAGUGUGGUAGGGGAGACUGGAACUCCUGGUGUAGCGGUGAAAUGCGCAGAUAUCAGGAGGAACACCGGUGGCGAAGGCGGGUCUCUGGGCCGAUACUGACGCUGAGGAGCGAAAGCGUGGGGAGCGAACAGG
RNAcentral lists this ribosomal RNA (253 nucleotides) under uncultured bacterium. Its description in RNAcentral is "partial 16S ribosomal RNA". It matches the Rfam family "Bacterial small subunit ribosomal RNA", at positions 524 to 776 of the family's 1533-position model. The record is from RNAcentral.